RNAcentral lists this ribosomal RNA (497 nucleotides) under uncultured bacterium. RNAcentral describes it as "partial 16S ribosomal RNA". It matches the Rfam family "Bacterial small subunit ribosomal RNA", at positions 28 to 507 of the family's 1533-position model. The record is from RNAcentral.
GAUGAACGCUGGCGGCGUGCCUAAUACAUGCAAGUCGAGCGAACGGACGAGAAGCUUGCUUCUCUGAUGUUAGCGGCGGACGGGUGAGUAACACGUGGAUAACCUACCUAUAAGACUGGGAUAACUUCGGGAAACCGGAGCUAAUACCGGAUAAUAUUUUGAACCGCAUGGUUCAAAAGUGAAAGACGGUCUUGCUGUCACUUAUAGAUGGAUCCGCGCUGCAUUAGCUAGUUGGUAAGGUAACGGCUUACCAAGGCAACGAUGCAUAGCCGACCUGAGAGGGUGAUCGGCCACACUGGAACUGAGACACGGUCCAGACUCCUACGGGAGGCAGCAGUAGGGAAUCUUCCGCAAUGGGCGAAAGCCUGAAGGAGCAAAGCCGCGUGAGUGAUGAAGGUCUUCGGAAAGUAAAACUCUGUUAUUAGGGAAGAACAUAUGUGUAAGUAACUGUGCACAUCUUGACGGUACCUAAUCAGAAAGCCACGGCUAACUACGUG